This 52-nucleotide transfer RNA is filed under the name Neomysis japonica. Its description in RNAcentral is "tRNA-Ser". Lineage: Eukaryota; Metazoa; Arthropoda; Malacostraca; Mysida; Mysidae. The record is from RNAcentral.
AGAAAGUCAAUUUAAGCUUCUAACUUAAUAAACAGGAUUACCCUACUUUCUU